Molecule: unclassified non-coding RNA, 431 nt
Filed under: plant metagenome
Description: partial contains 5.8S ribosomal RNA, internal transcribed spacer 2, and large subunit ribosomal RNA
Rfam family: 5.8S ribosomal RNA (bases 1-102)
Source: RNAcentral
AAACUGCGAUAAGUAGUGUGAAUUGCAUUUAGUGAAUCAUCGAAUCUUCGAACGCACCCUGCACUCACUGGUAUUCCGGUGAGUACGCCUGUUUCAGUAUCAUUGAAAACACACAAUCAAAACAUUUUCUUUGGUUUGAUUGGCUUUGGGUCUAUCAAAAAGUUUGGCUUGUUUCUUACAAGCCAAGCGGCCUGAAAUAUAUUGUCUGGCUAAUUGCAUCGUUGAUGAUCGCUAUUAGACUUUGGCUUUUUUAAAUGAACUGGAGGUUGAUUAACCAGUUUUAGCUUUAGUCAAAUGGUCAUUGUAAAAAAAAUCUCGAUCUUGGCUAGGUGUUUAUAGCCGAAAAUUUUUUUUUGGCUAUAACCGAAACCAAUAUAAUCACAUUUAGUUAUCGAUCUGAAAUCAGGUGGGACUACCCGCUGAACUUAAGC